CAAGUCGAGCGAGAGGGGGUAGCAAUACCCUAGUAAAGCGGCGCACGGGUGAGUAACACGUGGAUAACCUGCCUCGAAGUGGGGAAUAACCCCGGGAAACCGGAGCUAAUACCGCAUAUUCUGACGAGGUCUGCGGAUUUUGUCAGGAAAGGAGCAAUUCGCUUUGAGAGGGGUCCGCGGCUGAUUAGCUAGUUGGUGAGGUAAUGGCUCACCAAGGCCACGAUCAGUAGCCGGUCUGAGAGGACGGUCGGCCACACUGGAACUGAGACACGGUCCAGACUCCUACGGGAGGCAGCAGUGGGGAAUUUUUCGCAAUGGGGGCAACCCUGACGAAGCAACGCCGCGUGGGUGAUGAAGUAUUUCGGUACGUAAAACCCUUUCGACGGGGAAGAAACCGCAAGGUUGACGGUACCCGUAGAAGAAGCCCCGGCUAACUCCGUGCCAGCAGCCGCGGUAAUACGGGGGGGGCAAGCGUUGUUCGGAAUUACUGGGCGUAAAGGGCGCGUAGGCGGUUCGCUAAGUUGGAUGUGAAAACUCUGGGCUUAACCCAGAGCCUGCAUCCAAAACUGGCGAACUAGAGUACUGGAGGGGAAAGCGGAAUUCCUGGUGUAGCGGUGAAAUGCGUAGAUAUCAGGAGGAACACCGGUGGCGAAGGCGGCUUUCUGGACAGUAACUGACGCUGAGGCGCGAAAGCUAGGGGAGCAAACAGGAUUAGAUACCCUGGUAGUCCUAGCCCUAAACUAUGGAUACUUGGUGUGAGGGGGAUUGAAUCCCUUUCUUGCC
Molecule: ribosomal RNA, 783 nt
Filed under: uncultured Bacillota bacterium
Lineage: Bacteria; Bacillati; Bacillota
Description: bacterial SSU rRNA
Rfam family: Bacterial small subunit ribosomal RNA
Source: RNAcentral